UCUAAUAUGGCAGAUUAGUGCAAUGAAUUUAAGCUUCAUAUAGAAAGUUUUUAACUUUUUUUAGAA
RNAcentral lists this transfer RNA (66 nucleotides) under Aphodius hydrochaeris. RNAcentral describes it as "tRNA-Leu". The record is from RNAcentral. Lineage: Eukaryota; Metazoa; Arthropoda; Insecta; Coleoptera; Scarabaeidae.